This 2930-nucleotide ribosomal RNA is filed under the name Escherichia coli. RNAcentral describes it as "23S ribosomal RNA". It matches the Rfam family "Bacterial large subunit ribosomal RNA". Lineage: Bacteria; Pseudomonadati; Pseudomonadota; Gammaproteobacteria; Enterobacterales; Enterobacteriaceae. The record is from RNAcentral.
GGGUUGUGAGGUUAAGCGACUAAGCGUACACGGUGGAUGCCCUGGCAGUCAGAGGCGAUGAAGGACGUGCUAAUCUGCGAUAAGCGUCGGUAAGGUGAUAUGAACCGUUAUAACCGGCGAUUUCCGAAUGGGGAAACCCAGUGUGAUUCGUCACACUAUCAUUAACUGAAUCCAUAGGUUAAUGAGGCGAACCGGGGGAACUGAAACAUCUAAGUACCCCGAGGAAAAGAAAUCAACCGAGAUUCCCCCAGUAGCGGCGAGCGAACGGGGAGCAGCCCAGAGCCUGAAUCAGUGUGUGUGUUAGUGGAAGCGUCUGGAAAGGCGCGCGAUACAGGGUGACAGCCCCGUACACAAAAAUGCACAUGCUGUGAGCUCGAUGAGUAGGGCGGGACACGUGGUAUCCUGUCUGAAUAUGGGGGGACCAUCCUCCAAGGCUAAAUACUCCUGACUGACCGAUAGUGAACCAGUACCGUGAGGGAAAGGCGAAAAGAACCCCGGCGAGGGGAGUGAAAAAGAACCUGAAACCGUGUACGUACAAGCAGUGGGAGCACGCUUAGGCGUGUGACUGCGUACCUUUUGUAUAAUGGGUCAGCGACUUAUAUUCUGUAGCAAGGUUAACCGAAUAGGGGAGCCGAAGGGAAACCGAGUCUUAACUGGGCGUUAAGUUGCAGGGUAUAGACCCGAAACCCGGUGAUCUAGCCAUGGGCAGGUUGAAGGUUGGGUAACACUAACUGGAGGACCGAACCGACUAAUGUUGAAAAAUUAGCGGAUGACUUGUGGCUGGGGGUGAAAGGCCAAUCAAACCGGGAGAUAGCUGGUUCUCCCCGAAAGCUAUUUAGGUAGCGCCUCGUGAAUUCAUCUCCGGGGGUAGAGCACUGUUUCGGCAAGGGGGUCAUCCCGACUUACCAACCCGAUGCAAACUGCGAAUACCGGAGAAUGUUAUCACGGGAGACACACGGCGGGUGCUAACGUCCGUCGUGAAGAGGGAAACAACCCAGACCGCCAGCUAAGGUCCCAAAGUCAUGGUUAAGUGGGAAACGAUGUGGGAAGGCCCAGACAGCCAGGAUGUUGGCUUAGAAGCAGCCAUCAUUUAAAGAAAGCGUAAUAGCUCACUGGUCGAGUCGGCCUGCGCGGAAGAUGUAACGGGGCUAAACCAUGCACCGAAGCUGCGGCAGCGACGCUUAUGCGUUGUUGGGUAGGGGAGCGUUCUGUAAGCCUGUGAAGGUGUACUGUGAGGUAUGCUGGAGGUAUCAGAAGUGCGAAUGCUGACAUAAGUAACGAUAAAGCGGGUGAAAAGCCCGCUCGCCGGAAGACCAAGGGUUCCUGUCCAACGUUAAUCGGGGCAGGGUGAGUCGACCCCUAAGGCGAGGCCGAAAGGCGUAGUCGAUGGGAAACAGGUUAAUAUUCCUGUACUUGGUGUUACUGCGAAGGGGGGACGGAGAAGGCUAUGUUGGCCGGGCGACGGUUGUCCCGGUUUAAGCGUGUAGGCUGGUUUUCCAGGCAAAUCCGGAAAAUCAAGGCUGAGGCGUGAUGACGAGGCACUACGGUGCUGAAGCAACAAAUGCCCUGCUUCCAGGAAAAGCCUCUAAGCAUCAGGUAACAUCAAAUCGUACCCCAAACCGACACAGGUGGUCAGGUAGAGAAUACCAAGGCGCUUGAGAGAACUCGGGUGAAGGAACUAGGCAAAAUGGUGCCGUAACUUCGGGAGAAGGCACGCUGAUAUGUAGGUGAAGCGACUUGCUCGUGGAGCUGAAAUCAGUCGAAGAUACCAGCUGGCUGCAACUGUUUAUUAAAAACACAGCACUGUGCAAACACGAAAGUGGACGUAUACGGUGUGACGCCUGCCCGGUGCCGGAAGGUUAAUUGAUGGGGUUAGCGCAAGCGAAGCUCUUGAUCGAAGCCCCGGUAAACGGCGGCCGUAACUAUAACGGUCCUAAGGUAGCGAAAUUCCUUGUCGGGUAAGUUCCGACCUGCACGAAUGGCGUAAUGAUGGCCAGGCUGUCUCCACCCGAGACUCAGUGAAAUUGAACUCGCUGUGAAGAUGCAGUGUACCCGCGGCAAGACGGAAAGACCCCGUGAACCUUUACUAUAGCUUGACACUGAACAUUGAGCCUUGAUGUGUAGGAUAGGUGGGAGGCUUUGAAGUGUGGACGCCAGUCUGCAUGGAGCCGACCUUGAAAUACCACCCUUUAAUGUUUGAUGUUCUAACGUUGACCCGUAAUCCGGGUUGCGGACAGUGUCUGGUGGGUAGUUUGACUGGGGCGGUCUCCUCCUAAAGAGUAACGGAGGAGCACGAAGGUUGGCUAAUCCUGGUCGGACAUCAGGAGGUUAGUGCAAUGGCAUAAGCCAGCUUGACUGCGAGCGUGACGGCGCGAGCAGGUGCGAAAGCAGGUCAUAGUGAUCCGGUGGUUCUGAAUGGAAGGGCCAUCGCUCAACGGAUAAAAGGUACUCCGGGGAUAACAGGCUGAUACCGCCCAAGAGUUCAUAUCGACGGCGGUGUUUGGCACCUCGAUGUCGGCUCAUCACAUCCUGGGGCUGAAGUAGGUCCCAAGGGUAUGGCUGUUCGCCAUUUAAAGUGGUACGCGAGCUGGGUUUAGAACGUCGUGAGACAGUUCGGUCCCUAUCUGCCGUGGGCGCUGGAGAACUGAGGGGGGCUGCUCCUAGUACGAGAGGACCGGAGUGGACGCAUCACUGGUGUUCGGGUUGUCAUGCCAAUGGCACUGCCCGGUAGCUAAAUGCGGAAGAGAUAAGUGCUGAAAGCAUCUAAGCACGAAACUUGCCCCGAGAUGAGUUCUCCCUGACUCCUUGAGAGUCCUGAAGGAACGUUGAAGACGACGACGUUGAUAGGCCGGGUGUGUAAGCGCAGCGAUGCGUUGAGCUAACCGGUACUAAUGAACCGUGAGGCUUAACCUUACAACGCCGAAGCUGUU